Non-coding RNA from Arachis ipaensis, 603 nucleotides. Lineage: Eukaryota; Viridiplantae; Streptophyta; Magnoliopsida; Fabales; Fabaceae. The record is from RefSeq and is a predicted model, not a curated record.
CACCCUUUGAUGGCUUCUCCGGCCACUGAAGAUAACCACGUUGGCCAUCCGGCAUCAAUGUUUUCUCCUGAGAUAUGCGAGAGGCUAAUAUCUAAUAACAAGUCAUUGGUUUUAUCUUCUAAUAUUGCUGGCAUAGCAACUUGUCCAUAUGAUUUAACCAAAUGAGGCACCAUUAAACCAUGAACACCCCCUAAUUGUGCAGUAGGAAAGAUGCACCCCAUAUUCUUAAUCCACACACACAAUCAAUCAAAAGAAACUGGUGUGGGAAAAGGGGAAAGCUCCCACCCUUCUAAUUCUUAUGAUCAAGUAGCCAUUCACUGUGAAAACUUGUCUUGGAAAUUCAAACACGAUCAUGCAUGCAAGUUGAACAAAAUCUACCUCAAAUUAUACCAAUGGUGCAAUAUAAUGCCUCAAUGUGACUUGGUUCUCAACGAAGAAGAAUCCAAAAAUUCUAAGAGCCAAUCCAAUGAAUCUCUAGAGGCUCCAACACAAUAGGCCACAGAAGAGAAAAAAAAAAGGGUUGAUUCAUGUAUGAUUCAAAUAUUCAAUCUCAAAACACGUGUAUGUAUAUGAUGAAAAACAAAAUUGAAGGAAGAAUUUCUU